Molecule: non-coding RNA, 45 nt
Filed under: Trypanosoma brucei brucei
Lineage: Eukaryota; Euglenozoa; Kinetoplastea; Trypanosomatida; Trypanosomatidae
Source: RNAcentral
AAAACACAACAGAGAACGGAUGAAGAGAAUAUCUAUGGAAUUAUA